RNAcentral lists this unclassified non-coding RNA (1096 nucleotides) under Limulus polyphemus (Atlantic horseshoe crab). RNAcentral describes it as "protein broad-minded-like, transcript variant X2". The record is from RNAcentral. Lineage: Eukaryota; Metazoa; Arthropoda; Merostomata; Xiphosura; Limulidae.
GUCAUUUUAGCGUUCACUUUAGUGUGAUCAGUUGAAUAUAAAUAAUUAGUAAAUUAACAAUUUGAUUUCUUAAACUGAAAAUGUUAAUUGUGUUAAGGUUCAGUUUGUGUUGUUUCUGUUCGAAGUUGAACACCAAAUACUAAUACUAACAGUAGAAUAUAAGUAAAAAGUGAAGUGUAAUUCUGAUGUUACUAAUAGGUUAACUCUUCAGAGUGAGGAUCUUAACGUAGUAACAUCUUGUCAUUUUGGGGUAUCGGUCUGAUAUUGGCUUAGGCCUGGUGGUUUCAUUGGGGUAGAUGUGUAUCUAGCAGGAAAACUGAGUGUGGCCAUCUUUGUCACCAGUAACAGCUUGAUUUGAUUGUAUUGCUACAUGCAAGAGCUGAAGAACCAAUGGAGAAGAAAGGAUACAUUUAGAGCUUUGCGGGAUGUUCGACCAUAGUCAUCAGACAACAUACACAAAAAAAGAUUGAGCUGCAUAUUUUCCCAUUUCAUCAAACUUUUUUUUGCCACUUUAUUCUCUGAACAUGAAAGGAGUACAGUGUGAUAAGUAGAAUAAGAAAUGAUUGGAGGACUAACCUGAAGCCCAGAACUGUUUCUUCAUCAGCACUUAGUUAAUACAACUUGUAGAGAGUUAUCAGAAAUUCUACCAUAUCAAACAUUCUAGGAAUUGUAGAAAAAAAUCUAACAAAAAAACACCAGAAAAUGACUGUAGCAACCGAAUCCUCUGAUUCACAAUAGAUGACUUAUAUACACGUGUUUACACGUAUACAUUGAACUGUUAAAAAAUCUUGACAGGUAUGAUGGGUCAUUUGAUAUACAGAUCAAGCAAGUUUGGGUUAACAGAUACCUACCAAAAAUUUAAAUUCAGUCACUGAUUUUUUUUUACGAAGAUCAAUCAGCUACCAUAUUCUGUGAACAAAGGUAGCUUAAUGGAAAUUGAAACGUUAAAAGGUGUCUGAAAAAAGUAAAGAAUCUCUUGAGAAACUAACUCAUCUCAUACUUAGACACCUUUUUAUGAACCAGCCAUCAUUCAGAAAUGCAGUAUAACCCCUUCAGUUAUUUGGUCUCAGGCAUGUAUACAUCUGUGAAAUAAUAA